UCGAACGGCAGCACGGGUGCUUCACCUGGUGGCGAGUGGCGAACGGGUGAGUAAUACAUCGGAACAUGUCCUGUAGUGGGGGAUAGCCCGGCGAAAGCCGGAUUAAUACCGCAUACGAUCCACGGAUGAAAGCGGGGGACCUUCGGGCCUCGCGCUAUAGGGUUGGCCGAUGGCUGAUUAGCUAGUUGGUGGGGUAAAGGCCCACCAAGGCGACGAUCAGUAGCUGGUCUGAGAGGACGACCAGCCACACUGGGACUGAGACACGGCCCAG
RNAcentral lists this ribosomal RNA (271 nucleotides) under Burkholderia sp. C6. RNAcentral's name for it is "partial 16S rRNA". It matches the Rfam family "Bacterial small subunit ribosomal RNA", at positions 62 to 334 of the family's 1533-position model. Lineage: Bacteria; Pseudomonadati; Pseudomonadota; Betaproteobacteria; Burkholderiales; Burkholderiaceae. The record is from RNAcentral.